CAAAUAUGCACCAGAGGAUGUUACCAAGCAAUCAAGAUCGCUUCUCACUUUUCCAUGAUAACUGAGAAUUUAGCUCGCCUUGCCUACUAUGAAUGCAGAGAUUGCAUGUGCUUCGAUAUUUUUUGGUAUAAUGAGUUAGAUGGUGUGUUUUUUGAAAUAUGGCAGCGGAUCACAAAGCUGAAGGAGAGUUUCAAGGAGGCUUUGAAUGAAGUCUUUAAAUCGGAGAAGUUUCCACUACGCCAUCAUGAAAUGAAAGAUGCGCUGGACAAUGACUGCAACUGCUCUGAGAUGGAAAAGGAUUUUCGUAUUUGCACAGUAGGCAUUACUCCGGAAGUGACAGAGGAUAAAGGUCGAGAGUUGAUCGCAUAUGCUAUAAGACACCAGAGGAGAAGACCAAAGUUCUAUGCGCACUAUAUAUGUUGAAAAGAAGAUAGGAGUCGCCAAAGCUAUUGGAGUGAUUCCCACCGUAGUAACUUCGGAUUCCUAGUUACUUAAUUAGUCCAUAAUUAGUGAAGUAUUUAUCUGAAUCUGUUCUGGUGGAUAACGAGACAAGAUUUGCAGCCUGACAACUGUUUUAUAAUACUAUUUAUUGCAGGAUUGGGUAAGCAGAUAGGUUUUGCUUGAAUUGUACUAGAUCCGUAGGAUGGUUCUUCAACAAUUGGCGUUUGUAUUAUGCUGCUGCUUGUCUGGCAGCAAAUAUUUAUCACCUUGCUAUUUUUUCUGUCGCAAGCGGCAAAAAUGGAUUAACCAAUUUUAAAUUGCAUGAUA
Long non-coding RNA from Panicum virgatum (switchgrass), 768 nucleotides. RefSeq lists it as uncharacterized. NCBI's taxonomy places the organism in Eukaryota, Viridiplantae, Streptophyta, Magnoliopsida, Poales, Poaceae. The transcript is spliced from 6 exons. The record is from RefSeq and is a predicted model, not a curated record.